Molecule: transfer RNA, 83 nt
Filed under: Rhizoctonia solani
Lineage: Eukaryota; Fungi; Basidiomycota; Agaricomycetes; Cantharellales; Ceratobasidiaceae
Also listed under: 1 other name
Description: tRNA-Gln
Rfam family: tRNA
About the family: Transfer RNA (tRNA) molecules are approximately 80 nucleotides in length. Their secondary structure includes four short double-helical elements and three loops (D, anti-codon, and T loops).
Source: RNAcentral
GGCUCUAUAGUGUAGUGGUUAUCACCUCGGAUUCUGAUCAGGUCACCAUUCCGGUAACGCCAGUUCGAAUCUGGCUAGGGCCU